Jaculus jaculus (lesser Egyptian jerboa) is the source of this 214-nucleotide small nucleolar RNA. RefSeq annotates it as small nucleolar RNA U3. Lineage: Eukaryota; Metazoa; Chordata; Mammalia; Rodentia; Dipodidae. The record is from RefSeq and is a predicted model, not a curated record. The transcript has a single exon.
AAGACUAUACACUCAGGGAUCAUUUCUAUAGUUCCGUACUAGAGAAGUUUCUCUGACUGUGUAGAGCACCAGAAACCACGAGGAGAAGGUGCAGCGUUCUCUCCUGAGCGUGAAGCUGGCCCUGGGCGCUGCUCUGUGCAAGUGCCCUUUGCCAUUGAUGAUCGUUCUUCUCUCCCCUGGGGGAGUAAGAGGGAGAGAAUGCAGUCUGAGUGGG